CAGAAUUAUCUUGCAGCAAAGCAAGAAAUGAGGGCAGAAGAGGAAUCACACUAUGUAUGUUUGCCCAAUGUGAAACACACUACGUUCCAUUGAGAUGCUCGUGGCCAGUGGCACAGGCAUUCACAAACAGACAGGCCAGAGGUCAGCUGUCCCAGAAGAGGAAUCUUGCUGUAGAGGAAGAUGAAUCCUCUUCAGAGGGACACCAUAACUCAGGCACUCAGGCUCCAG
Larimichthys crocea (large yellow croaker) is the source of this 228-nucleotide long non-coding RNA. RefSeq lists it as uncharacterized. The transcript has 3 exons. The record is from RefSeq and is a predicted model, not a curated record. NCBI's taxonomy places the organism in Eukaryota, Metazoa, Chordata, Actinopteri, Sciaenidae.